This is a non-coding RNA of Osmia lignaria (orchard mason bee), 3307 nucleotides long. The record is from RefSeq and is a predicted model, not a curated record. NCBI's taxonomy places the organism in Eukaryota, Metazoa, Arthropoda, Insecta, Hymenoptera, Megachilidae.
AGCUUUCGAGGACAGACACGACGCUUUGGAAGGGGAGAGCCACGCGAGGACACCGGGUGGGGGAAAGUGAAGCGGAGCCACGGCGAAAGGAGCGUCGGAAGAGGGAGCAGGCUCACGCACGCUUCGAAAGAAGUGGAAUAGAAGCUACUCCAGAUCGUGAAGAGCGCGUGGAACAGGUUCGAAACGGUACAAAGCUAAUAACGAGGCCCUAACCGCGACCUAAGGAACAGGACAGACUCAGGUAACUCGGUACUCCGGCUCGCAGGUAGAGUUUGAGACAACAGGUAUCAUUGUCCGAGGGCUAGCAGUGCCGCAAGGCGAACGUUUUACAAAGCACUGGAAAUUCCAGGUAACCUCCCUCUGUCCUUUCACGGAAAAUAAACUUUCCCUCCCCCUUGGUCGCCUCUUUUAUCGAGAAUCAUCCAACCGGCUGAUACACUUUCCACGAUAUACUCGUUUCCUUCUUCGUUUACUUUCUUCGAUUCGCGUUACUCGUGCAGUUUCACUCGUAUAUUCCGCGAAGAUGGCUAACUUCGACGAAUAAGAGAAAAGGUACUUAGUCUAGUGUGUACCUUUUACUUUCAAGGUUCGUCAUUGAAAGUUUUAUUGUAGGUCCAUUAAUUUUCAGAGUACCGUUAGGUAGGGUCAGUCGUUUUUCGGGUCGUUUUCGAGUAGCCGAAUUCAACUUCGUUUUGCAACUGAAAAUAUCAUAGACUUCUAACGAUAUUUCCCAUUUCUACGCGUGGGUGGUUUCUGGUCUACGCGACGACCUUCUAGCAGAGUUCGGUCCUCCGAUAGACUACCAAGAAUUCCCUGGGACCAUUAAUCUGCUGGCUGCGACACCCAGGGCCCGAGUCUCGUUCCCUUCCCCUUUUUUCCCUUCAGUCACCCCCUCCAUUUCGGGCCAGGUAAGCGUGGCCCAGACCGAACCGUGGCAUUGUCCGAGAAACGUUGGUGAAACGAGUCAGGUUGUUGCACCGAUCAGAAACCACUAUCGCGACCGGAAGCUACCACGAUCUUCCAGUUAAACGAAGGUAGGGGGUUAAUCGGUACGACGAGAGGGCGAGGUGCGUCGAUUGUCCAGUAGAAUACGAGAAUAAAUUAAUGUCGUAAACGACUGCUUUCUGUCGUCUUUUUUAAAAAGAAAAUAGGGGAAUGGUUACGGUGAAAGUACUUGGGAUUAUUUAGGGUGAUUUGGGUUACGGUUCGCUCAAGGGUACUUAAACCAUUCAGGACAAGGGACAAUGGAUUUUCUAAGUAACAUUGAACAGUACUUAGAACGGAUUUAGUUUAUGGGGAGUGAUUUUAUAGUACCUGAAGAAAACUGUACUUCAAGAAACUUAGAUUCCUCGAUAAUGAUAAAUCAAUCACUAAUCAAGUGUCCCAUCAAAAUGUUCUAACGAAGGGUGGUAGUUGGACAAUCCAAGCGAUUUUCCAUAGGACAGGUUGAUCCUGACGGUCCAUCAAGGAACGUUCAGGUGACUGGUGAAAAGUUCGUCAGGCUAGAGAAGAGAAGAGAAGGUAAGGCGAGCAGACCGACAGGCGUCGCGCAAGAAGGAACAAUUAGAGGCCAAAUAAAGACGAAGAAGCGAGUCACAGUCGAGCGGGUUCGCAACGAGCGUGUGUGUGAUUUCGGUCACGCCGUGCGGCUGUACGUUGACCCCCGUAGAACCAGAGGAGAGAACGGAAAAAAAAACGAAGAAACACGGGUGCAGGCAGCUGAAAAAGGGAGAGAAAAAGACCGGCAUCGCGGCGGAAGGGAGAGAAAGAGGGAACUGAAGAAAGGUGAAGUAAGAAGGGGGAAUGUACGAAGGAACGAAGAGAGCAUUUGCUCCUCACCGUUCCUUCUUUCUUCCUUCUCUGCACGGAGAGGGUUCCUCGACUCGCCUCGCGGUUCCAACUUGCUCGUUGCCACCACCGUGCGGAGAAGCCGAAGUAACCGAGCAAGAUGGAACCACGAUGGUGGAACGAGGAGAAACCAUGCCGCGAAGAAGCUGGUAGGAAGAAAGAGAGCCAAGCCCGAGGAGAAACGUUCAGAAGGCUGAGAACUCACUCGGAGAGCAAUCGAGGUGUACACCGCACUGAUUCGCCCGAUCCUGGGUCAUUCGGACCCAGCCUUACAUCCAAUUCAAAACUGUCACGGUUUAGGUCAAUUCAGAAAUGUUAAGAAACUACCCCUUCGCGUCCAAAAUGCAAAUUCGUGAAGGGAUAGGCGACGAAGGUUUCGAUAUCAAAGAAUCAUCGAACGGUAUCGAAAACAGUGCAAAGUGGCUUCUUUAAAGUAGAGUAUCCUGUCGCGGCCGAUAAGUAAUCUUGUACCGGAACACUGGAGGCGUGGAUACGAGCCCUUUAAGGGCAGUUCACGUGUAUUCGACAUGCGUAUUACGCGUGCUCCACGGGAUUUGUCACGCGCCGACUGAACCUGCUCUCGCGAUUACAAAGACCGCUCGAAACAGCUUUGUACUUCAAUUUUAAUUCUAAUUCAUGCGAACCACUUGUACCAAUGUAAUUUUCAUCGAGAAUAAAUCUAAAUGAACCUAAGAUACAGGGUGUUAGGAAUUUACUGAGUAUCGGGUGCGAAGACGCAAUCUCGAGUAUCUGUGAAUCAGAUCGAAUGGAAAGUUUGCUAGAUCUCGAUGAGACUGGUGUUCAGGCUGUGGCGACGAUGUCGCCAAGGAGUUAGCGGACAGCUACGGGUUAGAUUGAGGCUGAUCGGGUAACCGCUAAGUAUAUCGAGCUUAGAGUACUUGAACGAGAGCCAUCGAUGGCCAAGGGUGCGAUGCUUGUUUGCUCAAUGACGCUGGGCUACCGAGGCGUUUACCGAUCUACAGGUGACUUUCCUUAUUCCUUCGGCCUGUCUCCUUUCCUUCGACGAUUAAUUGGCUUUUUAGGGCUGUUACGAACCGCAACGACGACUCGAGUACAAGACAAGCUUGUAGGGUGAAAUUGAAAUUCAUUGUGCGUCGAGAAGAGAGCGUAAACGAUGGGAUAAGGAAAACGAGUUAACCUCAGUUUCCUCUGGAACUAAGUACCACUUUCUACUUUAAUUCAUCCUAUUUUUCUUUAUCUCCCAAGAUAGAGGGAUAAAGAAAUUGUUUAGGGAGUGGAACGUAUCGAAAGGACGUCGCGGAGGAGUAAACCGGUAAUCUUUAGAGGUCAUCUAAUUAUGCGGUAAAACAGCGUUAAUUCGCGGUUAAUUUCUUAACGAGAUAACUCGUUGGCAAGGGAAAGGGUGGCGUGGUUAGAGCCUCUAAUGGCUCCGCGUGGCUACGUCCGGCUAAAUGAAAAAAAAAAAGGGAGAAAAAAA